This 2442-nucleotide long non-coding RNA is filed under the name Mytilus galloprovincialis (Mediterranean mussel). The record is from RNAcentral. Lineage: Eukaryota; Metazoa; Mollusca; Bivalvia; Mytilida; Mytilidae.
AAUAACGAAAUAUUUAGUUACAUAGGAAUUUAUCAGGAUGAGCACUUUAAAAUUGUUUUUAUUUCUGUUAUGUAUAUGUUCAGCUACUUCUAGACGCAUGCGGCAGGUGAAUAGAUGUGUUGAAGAUGUAGAUGUUGACAAAUGCAGUAGGUAUUUAUUUUUCAAGUCAUAUUUGUUUCAAAUUUAUUACGCAAGGAUAAUUUGCGAAGUGUUGUUUUGACUUGAUAGUCUUUUCCCCCAAUGGAGUUGUUUGUUUCUCUUCGAUUUAUGAGUUCUGAAUGUCCUAUUUGUAUAGUCUGCCUCAUUUUCACCGGGGACAAUAAACCAAAUUUGUGUUCCAAGUCUUAAAAAGCUAUGACUAUAUUUAACAAAAAUGCUAUCAUCACUACACCAAACUAUAAUAAUACAAACAUAUGACAAUAGACAACCACUGACGCGGUACCAAGAAUGGGAAACAGUAGCGGAUCCAGGGGGAGUGGGUUCCAGGGUGGUUGAUUCACCUUUUUUUACGAUCAAUGCAUUUGAAUGAGGUCAUAUGAUUGGAAAACCCUUAAUCGUUGUUUGGGACCCCACCCUUUUUUUUUUAUUCAGUGUGCACCAAAUUUUUUAUGUUCUUUCUUCAUAGACAGAAAAAGUAUUACAGUCAUUCCUUAAUAAACUGAUCAUUAGAAAACAAUUAGUUAGUAAUUGCUAAAAAAUAGUAAUUUUUUUUUUUUUGGAAAUUGUAAUCAACAUUCUCUUUACAUUUGUACUUUUCAACGAAUAAUGUUCGUGUAAAAAAAAGUGUAAAACAAUGAUAUUUUAUUUGUUUCAGUUUAUCUGUUGAGCGAUGAUAAUUAUGGGUUUGAGUACUUUUACAAUAAACGAGAAGUAGAGUAUAGCGAUAUUAUCUGUAUGGUAAGUUUCAAAAUGAUAUAUAUUUGAACAAUUGAUUAGAAUAUGCAAUACACAAAACACUAAUUGGCAAAUAUUUUUAAAAAAAACACAACAAACACACACUAACCAUCAACACCAGACAAAAUAACGAUAACAAAUAAAAAAAAACAAAAAAAAACAACAACGGACCGUAAACGGUCUAAAUAGCCUGAUUUGGUACGGAUUAAACCACUUGAAUGGUUUUUGAUUGCAGUUUAAAGUCUCAUGUUGCUGUUUUUCAUCCGAUAAUCACUGAUAUUAAUUAAGUGAGUAAAGUUUACUACAUGAACUUAUGAUUAUAUGAAAACUGUUAAAGAACUAUCUAAUACUGGCCUUAGAAAUUUCAUGUAUAUAGUACUCAGAACAACACAUAAUACUGAACCUGGACAUUUUUUUUUAAAUUUGAUCUAGUAUAUUUACUUAACAAAAACCGUAAAAAUCACCCAAAUAGAAUUUAUUUUAAGUAUUUUUUAUUUAACUUUAAGCUCAAUUACAUCGUUCAUUAAAUAUUCGGUUAUAAGUGCAAAUGUUCUUGUGCCCAAAUCAACAGGUUCUCCCAUUUCUAACUUUCAGAUGAAAUCAAGGAAUUUAAUUGCAAUAUACAAGACACACGUGUAAUCAAAAAGUCAUGAUGAGACCUCAUAAUGUAUUGGUUACUCAAUAUUUUCAUUUAUUGAAUUGAUCAUAAACCCAUGAUGAAUUGUGUAGCAAUUAUUUUUUAUGUAAAUUUCUUGGCUUCAUACUCAAUAAUUGGCUAGCUGCACCGUAUUGUUUUGAAGACACUUGUUUAAAAUCAUCUCAUAUACAUCAAAUAUGGACACUGUCAUGAUUUCAUUUCAUAAUUUUUAUGUGAUAAUUAUCAAAAUGAUGAUAUUUUUUACAGAUGAUUUGGUUACGACGUCAAAUGAGUCUAUUUUAACUCUUCUGGGAAAUGAUGUUCAAGUGAGAUGGUUCUAAAAUGACGAAUUUGCUUGGGACGACUAUGCAUUAUUUGAGUACAAAGUCAUGCCACGCCACAAUACCACAUAACAUAACAGUUUUUCAAUUGUCUAGCUGAAUAUUAUAUUCUUUGUAUGGAUGCAAAAAAAAAUUAUUAAUUAAUGAAUAAAAAUCUCCAUGCCUUUCAAACAUUUGAAGAAAAAUAUAGAAAAGAAAUCAAAAGGACAAACCAAAAAUCUAAUUAUAUAGCAAACUACACCAAAUUAACUAGUGGAACAAAAUAAUUCCGAAAUUUGAAUAAGCCUACGGAUGGAGGCAGUUACUGUCGGUCAUCAUAAUGUAUGUUCAUUUUUUGAGUGGGCUGUUGUAAUACAAGUUACUCUAUCUGUUAAGGCAGGAUUUCAAUUACAUCGUUUAACCAUUGGUAUGUUUGGACAAGUUUGAACCUUGCGAUAUCUUGCGUGUCUUCGAACGUGUGCAUUUUUUUCUCAGUAUAUUAACAAGUUACUUUUUUCAAAUGAAAUAUUUUUUUUCAUCUAUGCUUACCGUUUUUUAUAAUUCUACGAUUAAAUUGACAAAACAAGCACC